RNAcentral lists this microRNA (21 nucleotides) under Drosophila simulans. Its description in RNAcentral is "dsi-miR-9369-3p". The record is from miRBase by way of RNAcentral. Lineage: Eukaryota; Metazoa; Arthropoda; Insecta; Diptera; Drosophilidae.
AUACAUAUUCUUCUUUGGCUU